GAUGAACGCUGGCGGCGUGCUUAACACAUGCAAGUCGAACGGUAAGGCCCUUCGGGGUACACGAGUGGCGAACGGGUGAGUAACACGUGGGUGAUCUGCCCUGCACUUCGGGAUAAGCCUGGGAAACUGGGUCUAAUACCGGAUAGGACCACUGCCUGCAUGGGUGGUGGUGGAAAGCUUUUGCGGUGUGGGAUGGGCCCGCGGCCUAUCAGCUUGUUGGUGGGGUGCUGGCCUACCAAGGCGCCGACGGGUAGCCGGCCUGAGAGGGUGACCGGCCACACUGGGACUGAGAUACGGCCCAGACUCCUACGGGAGGCAGCAGUGGGGAAUAUUGCACGAUGGGCGCAAGCCUGAUGCAGCGACGCCGCGUGAGGGAUGACGGCCUUCGGGUUGUAUACCUCUUUCAGCACCGACGAAGCGCAAGUGACGGUAGGUGCAGAAGAAGGACCGGCCAACUACGUGCCAGCCGCCGCAGUAA
Molecule: ribosomal RNA, 478 nt
Filed under: uncultured bacterium
Lineage: Bacteria
Description: partial 16S ribosomal RNA
Rfam family: Bacterial small subunit ribosomal RNA
Source: RNAcentral